AGAGCUAGCAAAUCCCAUAAACCGUGGCUCAGUUCAGAUCGUAGGCUGCAACUCGCCUACGUGAAGGAGGAAUCGCUAGUAAUCGCAGGUCAGCAUACUGCGGUGAAUACGUUCCCGGGCCUUGUACACACCGCCCGUCACACCAUGGAAGUUGGCCACGCCCGAAGCCGUUACUCCAACCCUUGUGGAGGAGGACGUCGAAGGUGGGGCUGAUGACUGGGGUGAAGUCGUAACAAGGUAGCCGUACCGGAAGGUGCGGCUGGAUCACCUCCUAA
RNAcentral lists this ribosomal RNA (275 nucleotides) under Synechococcus sp. UW149. RNAcentral's name for it is "partial 16S ribosomal RNA". It matches the Rfam family "Bacterial small subunit ribosomal RNA", at positions 1260 to 1533 of the family's 1533-position model. Lineage: Bacteria; Bacillati; Cyanobacteriota; Cyanophyceae; Synechococcales; Synechococcaceae. The record is from RNAcentral.